RNAcentral lists this ribosomal RNA (465 nucleotides) under uncultured bacterium. RNAcentral describes it as "partial 16S ribosomal RNA". It matches the Rfam family "Bacterial small subunit ribosomal RNA", at positions 28 to 507 of the family's 1533-position model. The record is from RNAcentral.
GACGAACGCUGGCGGCGUGCUUAACACAUGCAAGUCGAACGGAAAGGCCCUGCUUGCAGGGUACUCGAGUGGCGAACGGGUGAGUAACACGUGGGUGAUCUGCCCUGCACUUCGGGAUAAGCCUGGUAAACUGGGUCUAAUACCGGAUAGGAGCCAUUUUUAGUGUGAUGGUUGGAAAGUUUUUUCGGUGUAGGAUGAGCUCGCUGCCUAUCAGCUUGUUGGUGGGGUAAUGGCCUACCAAGGCGGCGGGGGGUAGCCGGCCUGAGAGGGUGGACGGCCACACUGGGACUGAGGUAAGGCACAGACAGCGACGGGAGGGAGCAGGGGGGAAGAUUGAACGAGGGGCGCAGGCCGGGUGCAGAGGGGCCGCGGGGGGGAGGACGGUCUUCGGGUUGAAAAAUAAUUGCGCAAGGGACGAAGCUCUUUGUGACGGUACCUAGAGAAGAAGCACCGGCUAACUACGUG